AUUGAACGCUGGCGGAAUGCUUUACACAUGCAAGUCGAACGGCAGCACGGGGGCAACCCUGGUGGCGAGUGGCGAACGGGUGAGUAAUACAUCGGAACGUGCCCAGUCGUGGGGGAUAACGUAGCGAAAGCUACGCUAAUGCCGCAUACGAACUGUGGUUGAAAGCGGGGGAUCGCAAGACCUCGCGCGAUUGGAGCGGCCGAUGGCAGAUUAGGUAGGUGGUGGGGUAAAGGCCUACCAAGCCGACGAUCUGUAGCCGGUCUGAGAGGACGACCAGCCACACUGGGACUGAGACACGGCCCAGACUCCUACGGGAGGCAGCAGUGGGGAAUUUUGGACAAUGGGCGCAAGCCUGAUCCAGCCAUUCCGCGUGCAGGAUGAAGGCCCUCGGGUUGUAAACUGCUUUUGUACGGAACGAAACGGCGACCGCUAAUACCGGUUGCUAAUGACGGUACCGUAAGAAUAAGCACCGGCUAACUACGUGCCAGCCGCCGCGGUAA
This 500-nucleotide ribosomal RNA is filed under the name uncultured bacterium. Its description in RNAcentral is "partial 16S ribosomal RNA". It matches the Rfam family "Bacterial small subunit ribosomal RNA", at positions 29 to 523 of the family's 1533-position model. The record is from RNAcentral.